This 2054-nucleotide long non-coding RNA is filed under the name Octopus vulgaris (common octopus). Lineage: Eukaryota; Metazoa; Mollusca; Cephalopoda; Octopoda; Octopodidae. The record is from RNAcentral.
AAAUUUUGCCACAAUGGCAGCAAUUUUAGGAGAAGGGACGAGUGAAUUACCCCAGUGUUCAACUGGUAUUUAUUUUAUUGAUCCUGAAAGGAUGAAAAGCAAAGUUGACCUCAGCAGAAUUUGAACUCAGAACGUAGUGAUGGGCGAAAUGCUGCUAAGCAUUUUGUCAGGCAUGCUAAUGAUUCUGCCAGCUCGCCACCUUAAUAAUAAUAAUAACAAAAGCACUCAGAGAGCGCAAAUCUCCACCAAGACAACACCAUCGUCCUUUCAACGAUUAGCCAGAGAUGAUUUUUAAAAUGAGAAUAUCUGAAAUAAACUCAACUGCUCUCACAAACAAGAAUACUAAAAAUGAACCCAACUGCUCUCAAAAAUUAAGUAAAAAACAGGAAAAAUAAUCCAGAAUCCUUGUCCAGUACCGGAUUGAUAAAUCUAUUCAGCUCGUGCUAGUUGUGAGGUCAAACAUCCCUGAAAGUUUCAUCCAAAUCCAUCAGAGUGGUUCUUGAGAUAUCUUGUCCAUGGACAAACACAACUGAAAAUAAUACCUCUGCCUUUGCUAAGGCGGAAGUAAUAAUGUAGCCUCAAAAGUGAUUGUGGUACCUAUUGUGAUUGGUGCACUUGGGACCAUCUCAAAGACAGCAAUAUUCUGGUAUUGAGGUCGACUUCGCCUUUCAUCCUUUCGGGGUCAAUAUAAUCGACUUAAUCCGUUUGUCUGUCCUUGUUUGUCCCCUCUGUGUUUAGCCCCGUGUGGGUAGUAAAUAAAUAGGUAUUGAAAGCUGCAAAAACCAAACUUCAUACAAAGUAUUCAAUUGGUAGCCAUACUUGGAGCAGAUCAUGCAUUGAGGAAAGCUGUGAAAUGGCGCUGAGAGAUGAUAUUGGUAAAUUGGAAGAAGUUAAGUGAAUAAAUGAAUAAUAAUAUUUUCUAUUAAAGGCACAAGGCCUGAAAUUUUGGGGGAGGGGGACUAGUUGAUUACAUCAACCCCAGUGUUUCACUGGUACUUGAUUUAUCAACCCUGAGAGGAUGAAAGGCAAAGUCGACCUUGGAGGAAUUGAACUCAGAAUGUAAGGAAGGGUGAAAUACUGCUAAGCAUUUUGUCUGGUGUGCUAACGAUUCUGCCAGCUCACCACCUUUUUAAUAGUAAUCUAUCUAUAUAUAUAAAACUGAGAAUAUGUGAAGCCCUAAAACUCGAGAACCACCCAACCAAUUUCAUUCAAAUUUUACACAUGCAUUACUUCGGAUCCAUGGAGUGUCAUACGCCAAAAAAAUUUUCAACUUCUUGCCUAAUCUGAGUCCAAAGCAAUCUCUUAGACUGGUUCUGUUUUACAUGUCAAAAGUGAAACAAUAACAUCUAUAUUGUAAUGUGAUAUAUUGUUGUUAUACUUUUAUUCUUUCACUUUUAAUUUUAACUAUAAUAUUGUUUCACUUUUCUUUCUGUUUACAUUCUGAAAUACUUCUAAGCAUCAAAUGCAUUUCUUCAGAAGGCUGACAGCUCCCACUGGUAACCGUUUCUUUAUAUUCUAUCAGAAAAUCAAACCAUGUAUUUCUUACCUUACAAUAGCUAAUUCUGGUUAGAGGAAAAGUCUGAAAGUAUUGCUAAAUGAUAAUUGUCUGUUUAAUUAGUGGACAGAUGGCUUGAUUAAAUGGAAAUUAAAGGAAUAGGUGACAGGUUGAAGAUUCUGUUCAAAUCUAUAGCACUGCAGCUUGUCUGUGAGCAAGGUACUUCACUCUCAACAGAGUACCAUGAAAAUUACAUCUCACUAUCAUCAGCAGUAACACUGAGGCAAACAUCAUUAUCAUUUCAACAUUCACUUUUCCAUGACAGCAUGGGUUGGACGGAGCUUAUUGAGGCAGAUUUUCUAUGGCUGGAUACCCUUCCUGUCACCAACCCUCACCUGUUUCCAUGGUAACACUUUCCCAGAAGAAUGAAAAUGAAUGACAAUCAUUUACAACAUUAUGUGAUCUCAAGACAAGGAGACACAAAUGUACUAUCUCUCUCUCUCUCUCUCUCACACAUGCAUAAAUACAUAUAUACACAUACACACUUCCUUCAGUUUCC